AAUAGAUACCCUGGUAGUCCACGCCGUAAACGAUGAGUGCUAAGUGUUAGAGGGUUUCCGCCCUUUAGUGCUGCAGCAAACGCAUUAAGCACUCCGCCUGGGGAGUACGGCCGCAAGGCUGAAAACUCAAAGGAAUUGACGGGGGCCCGCACAAGCGGUGGAGCAUGUGGUUUAAUUCGAAGCAACGCGAAGAACCUUACCAGGUCUUGACAUCUCCUGACAACCCUAGAGAUAGGGCGUUCCCCUUCGGGGGACAGGAUGACAGGUGGUGCAUGGUUGUCGUCAGCUCGUGUCGUGAGAUGUUGGGUUAAGUCCCGCAACGAGCGCAACCCUUGAUCUUAGUUGCCAGCAUUCAGUUGGGCACUCUAAGGUGACUGCCGGUGACAAACCGGAGGAAGGUGGGGAUGACGUCAAAUCAUCAUGCCCCUUAUGACCUGGGCUACACACGUGCUACAAUGGAUGGUACAAAGGGCUGCAAGACCGCGAGGUUAAGCGAAUCCCAUAAAACCGAUUCUCAGUUCGGAUUGCAGG
This 531-nucleotide ribosomal RNA is filed under the name uncultured bacterium. RNAcentral's name for it is "bacterial SSU rRNA". It matches the Rfam family "Bacterial small subunit ribosomal RNA", at positions 777 to 1304 of the family's 1533-position model. The record is from RNAcentral.